This 447-nucleotide ribosomal RNA is filed under the name uncultured bacterium. Its description in RNAcentral is "partial 16S ribosomal RNA". It matches the Rfam family "Bacterial small subunit ribosomal RNA", at positions 29 to 523 of the family's 1533-position model. The record is from RNAcentral.
AACGAACGCUGGCGGCAUGCCUAACACAUGCAAGUCGAACGCCCCGCAAGGGGAGUGGCGAACGGGUGAGUAACGCGUGGGAACCUACCCAGCAGUUGGGGAUAACCGCGGGAAACUGCGGCUAAUACCGAAUACGUCCUAAGGGAGAAAGAUUUAUCGCUGUUGGAGGGGCCCGCGUCGGAUUAGCUAGUUGGUGAGGUAACGGCUCACCAAGGCGACGAUCCGUAGCUGGUCUGAGAGGAUGAUCAGCCACACUGGGACUUAGACACGGCCCAGACUCCUACGGGAGGCAGCAGUGGGGAAUAUUGGACAAUGGGGGCAACCCUGAUCCAGCAAUGCCGCGUGAGUGAUGAAGGCCUUAGGGUUGUAAAGCUCUUUUACCGGGGACGAUGAUGACGGUACCCGGAGAAUAAGCCCCGGCUAACUUCGUGCCAGCCGCCGCAGUAA